Molecule: long non-coding RNA, 365 nt
Organism: Astyanax mexicanus (Mexican tetra)
Lineage: Eukaryota; Metazoa; Chordata; Actinopteri; Characiformes; Acestrorhamphidae
Exons: 3
Source: RefSeq, a predicted model, not a curated record
CUACGUGGAGCCGUGCAGAAACCCUGCAGUGCGUCCACAGCAGAUAUACAUACACUCUCCAGCCAGCUAAUGUAGGCAGACACUCGGGUGAAGACAGUAGGCUUUCUCUGCACGUUGCAGCCUUGACCAGAAACGAAACUGGUGACUCCGUGGACGUAGUACUUUCCAUUGACCUGGCAGUUCAGAGGGCCUCCAGAGUCACCCUGCAGAAGAGGAGAGGAACGUGGAAAUGAAUUAUUUGUGAAAAGACUAUACCUGGCAACCCGAGAGACUUCCACCUCCAGCACACACCAUGGUAGGCUUAACAGAACCCCCCCACCAGCUGCUGCUGGAGCAGGUCUUGUGGUCCACCACAGGCAGGUAGG